UGGUUCUCGCAUCGAUGAAGAACGCAGCGAAACGCGAUAGGUAAUGUGAAUUGCAGAAUUCCGUGAAUCAUCGAAUCUUUGAACGCACAUUGCGCCCCCUGGUAUUCCGGCGGGCAUGUCUGUUUGAGCGUCAGUACGCACCUCCUACCUUCAUUUCUGUGAACGGAAGGGUCUUGAGUGCGCCGUCCCCCGCGACGGUGCCCUCUGAAGCGGCACGCUUGCGGGUCCUGCACAGGUAUCGACGUAGUAAAAUUUCAAGCUCGUUGAGGAUCUUGCGCGGAGACUUUCGCCUGAAAUCGAACUCAUGGUUUGACCUCAGAUCAGAUAAGGAUACCCGCUGA
Molecule: unclassified non-coding RNA, 341 nt
Filed under: uncultured fungus
Lineage: Eukaryota; Fungi
Description: partial contains 5.8S ribosomal RNA and internal transcribed spacer 2
Rfam family: 5.8S ribosomal RNA (bases 1-133)
Source: RNAcentral